UGAUAUGGAUGUUGCAGUGCUCAGUUGGUGGAUGAGCUGAUGAAGAGGUGAUGGUGUUGAGCUAGACGCUUGCUGAAUUUAUAGGCCAGGGGAAGGACAUCUUGACUGUGAACUGUGCUUGUCAUUGAGAAAAGUUGGCAGGGGACAAGGCCAUGGGAUCGGUGCAUGCAGUGUUGCAACAUGAUUAGUUUGGAUUAGAUUGCAGUGGGGCCAAAUGUUUGGUGUAUGCUGGAGCCUAUAGUCGUAACUGUUAGGCAUUGGUCCGCUUUCUUACCAUUCGUGGAUGCCAUACCAAGCUGUGUAGCGAACAAUAGACAUGUCGAGAACAGGCUAUUGGCAAUGUGCUAGGAGGGAACAGUGAUGGCUUCCAGAUUCAGGGAUCGAACAGUUCGGUAAGCCCUGAUCGAUUAGGCUAUCUCUGUGCUUUCUCCUGGCAGAUACUUGACAUUGUAACAUGCAUUGUUCAUGCACCUGAUCAAUCUAUUUUCUGCUGACAUUCAGUCGAAAAGCCAUGCUUGGUCUAGCAGAUCAUCCGUUUGAUAUGCGGCAUGCCACAUGUUUACUGUUCAUUCUUGCCUUCUAUUUCUUUUGGGUACAGGAGCAUAUGGCUAGAAUCAGACCACUAUAUACUAAUUUGAAGCUGAAGCAGAUGUCUCUGAUGUGUGUUGAGUUGACUCUGGGGUUCCGUAUUCAUGCAUAACAAUUUCAAUGUGAUGUUUCCAGUCAUAGUUGGGUUUCUCAGGCACAACUUUUUGGACUAAAUACAGAUGAUCCUGAAAAGGAAACCUCUCUCUAAUUAAGAAUGUCAUGACAUACAUGUGUACUAAUUCUCCUUUUGGCUCUGAACUUGUAUGUAUUUUUAGAUAUCAUUUUUUUGGUAGACAUGGUGCAGUUAAUCUGUUCCAUUGACUGAAUUUGCAGGCAACGGAAAGAUGGGACUGGAGGGGGCCACAGGGGGAGGCUGGUGAAGUGGGUUGCACCUGUCAGUGCAAAAAGGCAGCGAAAGGACUAGUCUCAAAUUUGUUUUUCUUUUUUGCUUGGAGGGAAGAAGGGACUAGUCGGUCAGCAGGCAACAUGUCCGUGCCAUACCUCGCCAGUGUGGUUCUGGUGCUUUGCUUGCACAUUAAUAGUGUUUGGCAGGUGAGGAGGUCAUGAGCUUGGUGAGUGCAAUGGUGGCUCCCAAGGGAGGCAGUGAUAUUCAGAUAAUGGCCAUGCUUGUGUGUUCUUGGUUCUUAGGUAUGUUGCUUAGAAAUUCUUUAUCUGUGAGUUUGUUGAUGAAGUGGUGGUGUACUACUAUGUAGCCCAUGAAUAUAUAGGCACAGACAUAUGACUAAUUUGCAUUUGGCAGGGGACAAGGCCAUGAGCUUGGUGCAUGCAAUGGUGCUGCCAGAUUCAGAUCAGAUUUUGCUGGGCCAUGGCUUUCUGUAUAGGCA
RNAcentral lists this long non-coding RNA (1433 nucleotides) under Triticum aestivum (bread wheat). Its description in RNAcentral is "long non-coding RNA (TAES_LNC006012)". The record is from RNAcentral. Lineage: Eukaryota; Viridiplantae; Streptophyta; Magnoliopsida; Poales; Poaceae.